AGGAUCGAUCUGCAUGAACAUGAGGGUCAUAGAAACAGGAAGCUGGCGCAUGCAACAGGGUGGGCUACAGGCUUUGAUAGAAUGGUGGCUAACAACAACAACUGGUAUUUGUCAGAUGUCUACACUGUGCAUGGCAUUAUGUCAGGUGAUCUACAAGCUUUACGUCAAUGGAUUCUUACUGAAACCCUUUGAGCAGUUCCCAGAGCUUAUCGCACCAUCUGUGAAAUCUGAAGUAUUGUUGUGAGGAUUCAAUGGAGUAAUAUCUGCUGAUGUGCGAACCACAGAGCCUGCAGGAGAGUGAGGAAAAGGGAAACUCUCUAUACCAAAGAAGGAAGGUGGGAAGGUUCAGAGUGGCCUAUGCCAAGUCCUGAGGGCACUGACCACCUUGGGGGCAAUGAGAAGAGCCAUGGAGCUGGAGAAGCCAAAGAGAGGACAAGCAGAGUGAAGAGGAGGUAUUCAGGAAAGCAGUUGUCAGUAGACUUCCAUGUCUUUUGCUACCUUUGAUUUAAGUCUCCUUCUGCCAGGUAAAGUAGAGCACUGCAUGUCCCUCUUGAGUUCCAGUGUCCUGCCAUCUCAUGUAGCCCUUCCGGGUCUUGACUUUGAGUUGAUGGAGGUGAGAGAGAUCUAGAAAGAGCUCUUAGUGGGUAAUGUGAGCAAGUCAGGAAACUCAGCUCAGAGCACCAGAUCUGGGCAAAAGGGGUGGAUCUGAGUCUUAAGGAGAAGGAAGGAAACCACUGUUCAGAACUGGGUUUCAGUUUAGGGUGGUGUUAGGCCUUUCUGAUGCAAAGGACUAGAGGCUUUCUUGAUCAUCUUCAGUAAGUGUGUAUGUGUGUGUGUGCUUGGAGUAAGGGAAGAAGUAUUGAAAGGAAGAACAUGGAAAUAAGGUAAUUAGAAACCUCAACCACAUGGCCAGAUGUCAAGAGUGCCAGGGAGAGUUUAGUAAUCAGGCCUUGCAAGAAGAAAAGAAACUAAUAUCCUGGUGGAUUUUUUGGAGACCAGAACUGGAAGACUGGGCAAAGUUCCAGUCACUCUAGGGAUUAGGAUCAAUUUUCAUCUUCACAGAAGUGUUUUCUGCUCUACAUGUCUGCUUCUUUGUGUUAUCUACUUUACAGGAUAUGGACCAAUGCCCUCACCCUACUCAUAUCUUUGGCUUAUUUAUAAUUUUGGUUUACUCAUAAACAUCACUUACUCAUGAUUGCUCAUGGUUCUUGCCUUCUUUUGACCUCUCUCUGCAUCAGUUUCUGCUCCCAAUGCCAACCGAAUAAUUCUCUUUAAAGAAUCUCAUAGUUUACAUUUCUAACAGAUAAAAUCUAAAUGGUCCAGCUAAUCAUA
RNAcentral lists this long non-coding RNA (1332 nucleotides) under Homo sapiens (human). RNAcentral describes it as "HSALNT0181310". Lineage: Eukaryota; Metazoa; Chordata; Mammalia; Primates; Hominidae. The record is from RNAcentral.